GAGUAACGCGUAAGAAUCUACCUAGUAGUGGGGGACAACUCGAGGAAACUCGAGCUAAUACCGCAUACGCCCUACGGGGGAAAGCGGGGGACCUUCGGGCCUCGCGCUAUUAGAUGAGCUUGCGUUGGAUUAGCUUGUUGGUGAGGUAAUGGCUCACCAAGGCUACGAUCCAUAGCUGGUCUGAGAGGAUGAUCAGCCACACCGGGACUGAGACACGGCCCGGACUCCUACGGGAGGCAGCAGUGGGGAAUAUUGCGCAAUGGGCGAAAGCCUGACGCAGCCAUGCCGCGUGUGUGAAGAAGGCCUUAGGGUUGUAAAGCACUUUCAAUUGGGAGGAAAAGUUAACGACUAAUACUCGUUAGCCUUGACGUUACC
This 375-nucleotide ribosomal RNA is filed under the name uncultured Gammaproteobacteria bacterium. Its description in RNAcentral is "bacterial SSU rRNA". It matches the Rfam family "Bacterial small subunit ribosomal RNA", at positions 108 to 479 of the family's 1533-position model. Lineage: Bacteria; Pseudomonadati; Pseudomonadota; Gammaproteobacteria. The record is from RNAcentral.